GGUGACGUGCUACCUCCAGUAACACAUCAUGCCUGCAGUACCUGCUGAAAACCCACCAAAAUGCCAGCAAGAAGAGUCAGAGGGAAUUCAGCCUCAUCCCAGUCCUAGAUGUGAAACAAGCAGGCGAGAAGACAGCCCUGCCUGUCCCAGCACAGAGCUCUAUGCACAUAUGGAGAGAACACUAAGUAAAGCCAUGAACGAGGCUUUCCCAAGCAGUACUGGUGGCUCAGUGGCUGUGCUGCUGGAAUUUUGAUGACAGUUGUCAGUGACCGUCGUGCCUGAGUGGGCCAGCUGAAGGGUAGGACAUGCUGAGGGCAUUGGCAAGGCAGCACAGAAGUGAAUUGGACCUGACUGUCCACAUGGAGUCUGGCACCAGCUCCAGCUUUCAGCCUUCCUCAGCCUCUGUCUCAGUGAAAUAAGAGAGACAUCUUGGCUCCUUUCUUCCCCAGCACGCACCAUGGUGAUGGAGAAAGUUGAAGCACUAACUCGUGCCAUGGGGAGUAAGCAGUGGUAGAAGACCAAGGGACCCAGAGCCACACAGACGCUGAUGGAUUGUGCAGGUCAAGAGAGUAAAGGAGCAGCGCUCUCCGUAUUUAAAGAUGAUGGAGGCCACCAGGAUGAAACAAGUAAGAAAGCUGACCAAAUGCUCUUGACCACCACUGUCCAGUCAGUUAGACAAAUGAAGCAUUCUCCUUGGCAUAACACAUCAUUCAACAAGUGGUUCAACCUCUUGUCAGCUUCAGCCUGCCAGAUUGCUUCUCAGUUCCUGAGGUCCAUGGUCCUCCUUCAUUGGAUGCGUUAGAAGAAAAGGUACCAAGAGUAACUGCUGAAGUCUCCAGUGCUACAGCAACGAAAGAGCAAAAUUGGGUGCCUGGAGGAAAAAUAAUUUGGUUCAACUGAGCUCUGUCUGAAAAGCAGGUUACCGUGGCUUAAUGAAUUAUCCUGAGUUUGCAGAACAACGUGUUCUCUUACCAGAAAGUUGCGAAUUGAGGAGGAACAUCACUGAUAAAAUGGAGGUCAACAACUGAACAGCAUCUUGUGGGAAAGAUUUGGAGAGACGGAGCCUGAACCAAGACCUGUGGAUUUGAAGAAAUGGACUCUGAAAGCGCCCAUGCCACGCGUCCAUGCCGUUUGAGGCAAUGCUGAGCUGCGACGGAAGAAAAAUAAGAAACCUGCACUACAAAUCCUGCAAACAACCGUUAAGCUGGGAAAGCUCACAUCCUUUUGUUUCUGGAUCUCUCCACUUAAUGCAUAAUGGGAGAAGAAGCAAGACCCUGGUGUGCGAGUCCCUGCGUGACACAGACCUGGGUUCAGACUGCUCGGCUGCCAACAGCAGAGCUCCUUUCUGCUGCAGUGACUGCCACGGCGUACGCUCAGAAGAGAUGACUGUCCCUUCAGC
This is a long non-coding RNA of Lagopus muta (rock ptarmigan), 1399 nucleotides long. RefSeq lists it as uncharacterized. The record is from RefSeq and is a predicted model, not a curated record. The transcript has 11 exons. Lineage: Eukaryota; Metazoa; Chordata; Aves; Galliformes; Phasianidae.